GGAGCCGCACCGGCCUGGAAAAGCACAUGCGGGACGCACGGGCCGCGCGCCCACGGCGGGGCUGGUGCGGGAGGCCCACAGCGCAGCCCUGGCCUGGCCCGGCGCAGGCCCCACCUUUCCCCCGGGGCCCCCUCCCAAGCACCUGGCCUGCUCAGACUUGUCGUCCUUGGCUGUCCUGAGGUCACCAGGUGGCCGGAGCGGUCUCUGCGUGUGUCCCCUCCCCACCUAGGCGGUGUUUGUUGCCUGCCAGCUGGGAGAACCCACAGGCCAGGGCACCCCGAGCAGGACAGGCGGCCUUGGAGGGCUGCUUCCCGCCACGAGGCUCUCCUCGCCCACCUCCACGUCCUGCCCUCCGCCCAGAGCUGUCGGGUGCCAGUGGCCGGUGUGAGAUCGUGUCCCGUGAUUGCGUGUUCUGGCUCGUCCCUGCAGUCAGCCCGAGGAGGUGGGCGUGCAGGAGGCCAGACCCUGAAAUUCCACAACUUCCAGGAUGGCCAGGAGCGCUUCCCAAGCCACAGCUGCCAGCGCCCCUUAGCUGAUACUGUGCUGCCCGAGGACGCCCACCUCAAGCUCGGCUCUGUGUGCCUGCUACGUCCCCUGCCUUGCUGUGUUGGGAGGUGGCGAGGGGACACUCUCUGACGUGGGCUGGAGGCUCUGAGACAGCCAGCGAAGUGGCACAGAAGGCCCCUUCCCCGGCAGGCCACCCCCUGCGGCCAGCGCUGCAGCCACAGGCUUAGAGGGGCCCUGUCUGCCACAGCUGGGGCACCUCUGUCCCCAAGGGACAAGUUCCCAGGCUGUCCUGCAAAACCAAAACUCUCCCCACUCGGUCCAGAAUCCCUGUGGAGGCGCGUCGCAGGGAAAUUAAACUGGAAAAGGCAAAAGACGCGUUACGCCGUGAGCCCGAUGCAAGCUGUAGGUACCGUCCCCGCACCCCCGAGAAUAAGUCCAAGCCGGGCUCAUGGGCCACCGUGGGCAGGGUCUGGGCUCUGGGGCUUCCUUGCAGUGGCCGCCUCGAGACGGCAGGCCUAGGGGACACACUUAUUUCUAUAACUUUGUGCAAACGGUGGUACCGCUUGUUCUUCAGAGCAGCAUGGGAUGGGGUUUUCCCCGAACGCAUAAACUUGCGGAGCCCAAGAUUUCCGGGUGGUUUUUACACGCCACUUGCUCUGGCGGAGUGCUGGCCACAGGUGACAGCUCUGCCGCUUCCAGGUGGAAGGGAUC
This 1218-nucleotide long non-coding RNA is filed under the name Dasypus novemcinctus (nine-banded armadillo). RNAcentral's name for it is "lncRNA (ENSDNOG00000052118.1)". The record is from RNAcentral. Lineage: Eukaryota; Metazoa; Chordata; Mammalia; Cingulata; Dasypodidae.